CAGCAGAAGAGCAGGCAGGGAAGGGAGGGUGGAGGGGCAGAGACUCCCCUUUCAUCUGUGCUUGGUUCCGGAGGAGGCCAACAGAGGAAUUAACCCGGGAAGCAAUUGAAGUCAAAUGUCCCAUCUAAAGUGAAGCUUUUUUAUAUCAUGGCAGCCCUGUAGUGGUGGAGUUGUAAAAAGGAGGAGCAAAUUUGCAAAGCCUGACAAGCCCUUAAUUCAGAUCUCCCAGCAAUCACUCCAACUCAUUUUAUUGGACUACAAGUUACAAGGAUUGAACUCCAGUUGUCAGACUUGGUGGCACGCACCUUUACCUGAUGAGCCAUCUCUCCUGCCCAUCUAUAAUCUCAUCGAGCGCACAUGUUAUAUGCAACAAGAUAAAAAUGGGAAGCGUGAACACAUGGGAAGGAGAAGGCAUUGUUUACCUGGGAAUCCGACUGAGGCCUCUACCAGCUUAUGGCCUUUCUCCUUUCCUAAGUAUAGCCCCACAACGUUCUAGAAAUCUCAUUAGAAACCCCUUGUGCAAAUUGAGUGGCUCCUGGCUUUAUCAUAUCACAUUGAUGUCUCAUCCAGGGCACCUCAGAAACCACCCUGUAUUCUCACUUUCAAAAAGAAAAAAAGGGCAAAAGAAAAACAAACAAACAAACAAACACCCUGGUGUUUCUUAGCAGCCCCUCUGAGAUGCAACCUAAAAGUCACCCAAAUGUGGCUAACUCCAAGGCCCUGAAUUGUGACUCUCUUGAGAAUCCUGCACCUCACCUGGAUGUACCUUAUUCUUUCCCUUAGCCCCUGUGUUUAAAAUGUGUGUUCCUGGCGUUCUGUUUGUGUGUUUGUUUUGCUUUUAUAAGUUCUGCCUCUCACUGAGCCACCCACACCCCUGCUUUUGUCUGUCCCUGGUUACCUUUGUUUCUAUUGUUAAUAAACUCUAAACCAGUUUCAUAA
This is a long non-coding RNA of Meriones unguiculatus (Mongolian gerbil), 939 nucleotides long. RefSeq lists it as uncharacterized. The record is from RefSeq and is a predicted model, not a curated record. NCBI's taxonomy places the organism in Eukaryota, Metazoa, Chordata, Mammalia, Rodentia, Muridae. The transcript is spliced from 3 exons.